This 72-nucleotide transfer RNA is filed under the name Alistipes sp. RNAcentral describes it as "tRNA-Thr". It matches the Rfam family "tRNA". Rfam says of the family: Transfer RNA (tRNA) molecules are approximately 80 nucleotides in length. Their secondary structure includes four short double-helical elements and three loops (D, anti-codon, and T loops). Lineage: Bacteria; Pseudomonadati; Bacteroidota; Bacteroidia; Bacteroidales; Rikenellaceae. The record is from RNAcentral.
GCUGUUGUAGCUCAGGGGUAGAGCACUUCCUUGGUAAGGAAGAGGUCGUGAGUUCAAUCCUCAUCAACCGCU